GCCAGGUGUGGUGGUGGGCACCUGUAAUCCCAGCUACUUGGGAGGCUGAGGCAGGAGAAUUGCUUGAACCCAGGAGGUGAAGUUUGCAGUGAGCCGAGCUGAGAUCUCGCCACUGCACUCCAGCCUGGGUGACAGAGCAAGACACUGUCUCAA
Molecule: unclassified non-coding RNA, 153 nt
Organism: Pongo abelii (Sumatran orangutan)
Lineage: Eukaryota; Metazoa; Chordata; Mammalia; Primates; Hominidae
Rfam family: Metazoan signal recognition particle RNA
About the family: The signal recognition particle (SRP) is a universally conserved ribonucleoprotein.
Source: Ensembl